Molecule: long non-coding RNA, 1134 nt
Organism: Oreochromis aureus
Lineage: Eukaryota; Metazoa; Chordata; Actinopteri; Cichliformes; Cichlidae
Source: Ensembl
GGGGUGUCAAACUCCAGGCCUCGAGGGCCGGUGUCCUGCAGGUUUUGGAUCCCACACUGUGUCAACACACCUGAAUCAAAUGAUUAGUUCAUUACCAGGCCUCUGGAGAACUGCAAGACAUGUUGAAGAGACAAAGGAAAAUAAAGAAUUGGCCACUGCCCUGAAGACCCGCCGCAUCGAUAUCGCCUGUGUCCAAGAGACAAAAUGGAGCGGAGCGAAAGCCAAGGAAAUCAGCAUCAUGUCAAUCGAAACAGACUCCGGAAAGACAGCUCUGCAAGUGGUCUGCUGCUACACACCACAAGUGCUCGGAUGAGUCCAAAGACGAAUUUUGUGUUCAGUCCAGCCAGAAGGCUUGGUCAUAGGUGGCGACCUAAAUGGUCAUGUGGGGGCCAGAAGAGAUGGCUACAAACAACAUCAUGGUGGACAAGAACACGGUACACGUAACAAAGAAGGCUGCAUAGUCCAGAAUUUUGCUGAAGCCCACAAACUCAUCGUAGCGAACACCUACUUCAAAAAGUGCCUGUCUCACCUGAUAACUUACGCCAGAGGAGGACGUUUCACCCAGGUCGAGUACUGGGUGAAACAUAUUUAUAUAGCACUUCAGAAACAGGUGAUUGAUGUAUGGUGUCUGCAACUUAUUAGAUCCAGAUGUCAUUCAGUGUCACACACUGAUAAUGAGCGUUGGAGUACUGUAAACAAAACCAGUGUAAACUCUGUAGAUGGAUGUUUGUUGUCUGCAGCCUAUUAGUGCUGCCAGACCUAGGUUUUAUUUAGUUUCACACACUUAUAAUGAGUUUAGGAGUAUUGUAAACAGAACCAGUGUACACUCUCCAGGCUGAGGCAGGAAAAAUUACUUUGGGUCUCUGUAUGAAACAACUCACAGCAAAUUACUGGAAAUAAUCUAAGGGGACACAACGGCACUCAUGUUUACUCACGUUUUGAUGUAGAUUUGGGUAAUGAGGUGCUGGGUUGUCAUCUAUUUCUAUUUAUUUCUUCAUAUUUUGAAGAAUAAAGAAUUUAAAAAACAGACAGAUUAAGCUGUAAACACUUGAGUUAUGUGACUUGGUAUUGUUUUGUAAACAUUUGUAAAAAUGAAUUUGUUUGUGUAUUUUGCUAAAAUGAUGUAACCAAAAG